RNAcentral lists this ribosomal RNA (484 nucleotides) under uncultured bacterium. RNAcentral's name for it is "partial 16S ribosomal RNA". It matches the Rfam family "Bacterial small subunit ribosomal RNA", at positions 29 to 507 of the family's 1533-position model. The record is from RNAcentral.
AUUGAACGCUGGCGGCAUGCUUUACACAUGCAAGUCGAACGGCAGCGCGGGCUUCGGCCUGGCGGCGAGUGGCGAACGGGUGAGUAAUGCAUCGGAACGUGCCCAGUAGUGGGGGAUAGCCCGGCGAAAGCCGGAUUAAUACCGCAUACGACCUGAGGGUGAAAGCGGGGGACCGAAAGGCCUCGCGCUAUUGGAGAGGCCGAUGUCGGAUUAGCUAGUUGGUGGGGUAAAGGCUUACCAAGGCGACGAUCCGUAGCUGGUCUGAGAGGACGACCAGCCACACUGGGACUGAGACACGGCCCAGACUCCUACGGGAGGCAGCAGUGGGGAAUUUUGGACAAUGGGGGCAACCCUGAUCCAGCCAUGCCGCGUGCGAGAAGAAGGCCUUCGGGUUGUAAACCGCUUUUGUUCGGGAAGAAAUCCUCUGGGCUAAUACCCCGGGGGGAUGACGGUACCGGAAGAAUAAGCACCGGCUAACUACGUG